This 521-nucleotide ribosomal RNA is filed under the name uncultured bacterium. RNAcentral describes it as "bacterial SSU rRNA". It matches the Rfam family "Bacterial small subunit ribosomal RNA", at positions 992 to 1510 of the family's 1533-position model. The record is from RNAcentral.
UGACAACUCUAGAGAUAGAGUCUUCCCCUUCGGGGGACAAAGUGACAGGUGGUGCAUGGUUGUCGUCAGCUCGUGUCGUGAGAUGUUGGGUUAAGUCCCGCAACGAGCGCAACCCUUAAGCUUAGUUGCCAGCAUUAAGUUGGGCACUCUAAGUUGACUGCCGGUGACAAACCGGAGGAAGGUGGGGAUGACGUCAAAUCAUCAUGCCCCUUAUGAUUUGGGCUACACACGUGCUACAAUGGACAAUACAAAGGGCAGCUAAACCGUGAGGUCAUGCAAAUCCCAUAAAGUUGUUCUCAGUUCGGAUUGUAGUCUGCAACUCGACUACAUGAAGCUGGAAUCGCUAGUAAUCGUAGAUCAGCAUGCUACGGUGAAUACGUUCCCGGGUCUUGUACACACCGCCCGUCACACCACGAGAGUCUGUAACACCCGAAGCCGGUGGAGUAACCAUUUAUGGAGCUAGCCGUCGAAGGUGGGACAAAUGAUUGGGGUGAAGUCGUAACAAGGUAGCCGUAUCGGAA